GACGAACGCUGGCGGCGUGCUUAACACAUGCAAGUCGAACGGAAAGGCCCUGCUUUUGUGGGGUGCUCGAGUGGCGAACGGGUGAGUAACACGUGAGUAACCUGCCCUUGACUUUGGGAUAACUUCAGGAAACUGGGGCUAAUACCGGAUAGGAGCUCCUGCUGCAUGGUGGGGGUUGGAAAGUUUCGGCGGUUGGGGAUGGACUCGCGGCUUAUCAGCUUGUUGGUGGGGUAGUGGCUUACCAAGGCUUUGACGGGUAGCCGGCCUGAGAGGGUGACCGGCCACAUUGGGACUGAGAUACGGCCCAGACUCCUACGGGAGGCAGCAGUGGGGAAUAUUGCACAAUGGGCGGAAGCCUGAUGCAGCAACGCCGCGUGCGGGAUGACGGCCCUCGGGUUGUAAACCGCUUUCGCCUGUGACGAAGCGUGAGUGACGGUAAUGGGUAAAGAAGCACCGGCUAACUACGUGCCAGCAGCCGCGGUGAUACGUAGGGUGCGAGCGUUGUCCGGAUUUAUUGGGCGUAAAGGGCUCGUAGGUGGUUGAUCGCGUCGGAAGUGUAAUCUUGGGGCUUAACCCUGAGCGUGCUUUCGAUACGGGUUGACUUGAGGAAGGUAGGGGAGAAUGGAAUUCCUGGUGGAGCGGUGGAAUGCGCAGAUAUCAGGAGGAACACCAGUGGCGAAGGCGGUUCUCUGGGCCUUUCCUGACGCUGAGGAGCGAAAGCGUGGGGAGCGAACAGGCUUAGAUACCCUGGUAGUCCACGCUGUAAACGGUGGGUACUAGGUGUGGGGUCCAUUCCACGGGUUCCGUGCCGUAGCUAACGCUUUAAGUACCCCGCCUGGGGAGUACGGCCGCAAGGCUAAAACUCAAAGGAAUUGACGGGGCCCCGCACAAGCGGCGGAGCAUGCGGAUUAAUUCGAUGCAACGCGUAGAACCUUACCUGGGUUUGACAUGGAUCGGGAGUGCUCAGAGAUGGGUGUGCCUCUUUUGGGGUCGGUUCACAGGUGGUGCAUGCCUGUCGUCAGCUCGUGUCGUGAGAUGUUGGGUUAAGUCCCGCAACGAGCGCAACCCUUGUUCACUGUUGCCAGCACGUUAUGGUGGGGACUCAGUGGAGACCGCCGGGGUCAACUCGGAGGAAGGUGGGGAUGACGUCAAGUCAUCAUGCCCCUUAUGUCCAGGGCUUCACGCAUGCUACAAUGGCUGGUACAGAGAGUGGCGAGCCUGUGAGGGUGAGCGAAUCUCGGAAAGCCGGUCUCAGUUCGGAUUGGGGUCUGCAACUCGACCUCAUGAAGUCGGAGUCGCUAGUAAUCGCAGAUCAGCAACGCUGCGGUGAAUACGUUCCCGGG
RNAcentral lists this ribosomal RNA (1343 nucleotides) under uncultured bacterium. RNAcentral describes it as "16S ribosomal RNA". It matches the Rfam family "Bacterial small subunit ribosomal RNA", at positions 28 to 1378 of the family's 1533-position model. The record is from RNAcentral.